CCUUAACGCCUUCUUAAACCCUUUAGUAUGCUCCUGACGAAUGGCCGCAUACAUCUCAGCCUGGGUGCUCUUCCAUUCUAACGAGGCCAUCUUCAGAUCGUCUCUUUCUUUCCGAAUAGCCUCCAGCUCAGACACGGUCUUCUUGACCGACUCCAGUUCCUUUGCCAGAUUGUCCCGUUCGGUCCUCGUCCGGAGGCUCAUAUUUCUCAGCUGUUCCUGGAGCGAAUGACUUUCAGCCAAC
This 241-nucleotide long non-coding RNA is filed under the name Vigna radiata. RNAcentral's name for it is "long non-coding RNA (VRAD_LNC002995)". The record is from RNAcentral. Lineage: Eukaryota; Viridiplantae; Streptophyta; Magnoliopsida; Fabales; Fabaceae.